GUGGGGAAUAUUGGACAAUGGGCGCAAGCCUGAUCCAGCCAUGCCGCGUGAGUGAUGAAGGCCCUAGGGUUGUAAAGCUCUUUCACCGGUGAAGAUAAUGACGGUAACCGGAGAAGAAGCCCCGGCUAACUUCGUGCCAGCAGCCGCGGUAAUACGAAGGGGGCUAGCGUUGUUCGGAAUUACUGGGCGUAAAGCGCACGUAGGCGGGUAUUUAAGUCAGGGGUGAAAUCCCAGAGCUCAACUCUGGAACUGCCUUUGAUACUGGGUACCUAGAGUAUGGAAGAGGUAAGUGGAAUUCCGAGUGUAGAGGUGAAAUUCGUAGAUAUUCGGAGGAACACCAGUGGCGAAGGCGGCUUACUGGUCCAUUACUGACGCUGAGGUGCGAAAGCGUGGGGAGCAAACAGGAUUAGAAACCCCAGUAGUCC
RNAcentral lists this ribosomal RNA (425 nucleotides) under uncultured bacterium. RNAcentral's name for it is "partial 16S ribosomal RNA". It matches the Rfam family "Bacterial small subunit ribosomal RNA", at positions 354 to 796 of the family's 1533-position model. The record is from RNAcentral.